This 23-nucleotide ribosomal RNA is filed under the name Cladonia humilis. RNAcentral's name for it is "partial 28S ribosomal RNA". The record is from RNAcentral. Lineage: Eukaryota; Fungi; Ascomycota; Lecanoromycetes; Lecanorales; Cladoniaceae.
CAGUAGGGAUACCCGCUGACUUA